GAAAAAGAAAAAAAAGAAGAGGGAAAUAUUUUGCAUGCUAAAGUGGAAUAGGGACGACACCGGUCGAUUAAGUCGUACAACUUUAGAUCAUCCCUUAGGACAUACCCCUGAAAUUCCUUCGCAGUAUCUCACACCUUGUGAGAUGGCUGAUUUAAAUGAAGAUGCGGGGAGUCACCACAAUCGAGAACGAGAACCCCAUGUUAUG
This 205-nucleotide long non-coding RNA is filed under the name Phoenix dactylifera (date palm). RNAcentral's name for it is "long non-coding RNA (PDAC_LNC017136)". The record is from RNAcentral. Lineage: Eukaryota; Viridiplantae; Streptophyta; Magnoliopsida; Arecales; Arecaceae.